AUGGGGGCAAUCUCAAGAGGGUCGCCUUUGGAUAAGACAAGGAAUGGGCUCUCAGGGGAGAAGGUGGGCCACUCCAGGGACAGAGGGCAGCCUGUGGUGUGGGUGUUCAUAUUUGCAGAGGCCAGUGCCAGGGGCUGGACCCAGGUGGAGGCCCUGGUUCUCCAUGGGAGGACUUUGACUGGAAGUAGGUUUUCCAUGAUCCAGAUAAUGAUCUCUAAAUCAGUUGUUAUGAAGGCCUGUUUGGGCUGGGGUGUGGCUAGAGCAUUUGCCUAGUGUGUGCAGGGCCCUGGGUUUGAUCCUCAGCACCACAUAAAAACAACUAAAAAAUAAUAUAUUUUUUAAAAAGGUCUCUGCUAGGGGUCUGAAAGAGGCAUUUUCAUGAGGUUUAUGAAAUUCAAACUAUUUCCUGGGUUGCAGUAGAGAUUUCCUGGGGCUCUGUGAUGUGUGAUGACAAGAUCUCUUGGGGCUGAUAAGCUGUGUGCUUGUGUAAUCUGUUUAAGUUUUCCUCAGUUUUAAUUAUAACUCCUAUCAACACUAGGUGCUUGGGAGCUGUGUUAGUCAAGGAUCUUCUGGGAGAUGGAAA
RNAcentral lists this long non-coding RNA (583 nucleotides) under Ictidomys tridecemlineatus (thirteen-lined ground squirrel). RNAcentral's name for it is "lncRNA (ENSSTOG00000033866.1)". Lineage: Eukaryota; Metazoa; Chordata; Mammalia; Rodentia; Sciuridae. The record is from RNAcentral.